GACGAAGGAUGCAAGCGUUAUCCGGAUUCAUUGGGUUUAAAGGGAGCGUAGGCGGCCCUAUAAGUCAGUGGUGAAAUCUCCCGGCUUAACCGGGAAAUUGCCAUUGAUACUGUAGGGCUUGAGUACAGUUGCCGUUGGCGGAAUAUGACAUGUAGUGGUGAAAUACAUAGAGAUGUCAUAGAACACCGAUUGCGAAGGCAGCUAACGAAGCUGUAACUGACGCUGAGGCUCGAAAGUGCGGGGAUCAAACAGG
RNAcentral lists this ribosomal RNA (253 nucleotides) under uncultured bacterium. RNAcentral's name for it is "partial 16S ribosomal RNA". It matches the Rfam family "Bacterial small subunit ribosomal RNA", at positions 524 to 776 of the family's 1533-position model. The record is from RNAcentral.